This 253-nucleotide ribosomal RNA is filed under the name uncultured bacterium. RNAcentral's name for it is "partial 16S ribosomal RNA". It matches the Rfam family "Bacterial small subunit ribosomal RNA", at positions 524 to 776 of the family's 1533-position model. The record is from RNAcentral.
UACGAAGGGGGCUAGCGUUGCUCGGAAUCACUGGGCGUAAAGGGUGCGUAGGCGGGUCUUUAAGUCAGGGGUGAAAUCCUGGAGCUCAACUCCAGAACUGCCUUUGAUACUGAGGAUCUUGAGUUCGGGAGAGGUGAGUGGAACUGCGAGUGUAGAGGUGAAAUUCGUAGAUAUUCGCAAGAACACCAGUGGCGAAGGCGGCUCAUCUGCCCGAUACUGACGCUGAGGCACGAAAGCGUGGGGAGCAAACAGG